Pelobates cultripes (western spadefoot toad) is the source of this 298-nucleotide non-coding RNA. The record is from the annotation of a GenBank genome assembly. Lineage: Eukaryota; Metazoa; Chordata; Amphibia; Anura; Pelobatidae.
AGAUUGGGACACUGCCCCUUUAAGACGGUGUCCCCAGACUUGUUUGGGACACUGCCUCUUUAAGACGGUGUCCCCUGUGUCCCCAGACCUGGUUCAAACCCUUUGUGCCUGGCUAUUUCCCACUUGGUUCAGUAAGUGGGGCUUACUGAACCAAGUACCACACAGGCGGUCCACCCAGAAGUGGAAGGGUGCAGGCAAUUUACCUCCCAGAAGCUGCGGUUAACCGCAGCUUAAUUCACAAUGCUGGGUGGCCUUUGUUCGUUUGCCGAACACGUGGCGGCGGCCAUCUUUGUUAAUG